UCAUGAAGGCUGUUCAUAUUGUUGUGUUUUUAUGCUCACUGUAUCUGAUAUUUUUGUUCUUCAUUUUCAACAGGCCAGAAGCCUUGGUGUCAUGUGGAUUGUUGUGGCUUGUCUACUACUUGCUGAUGUAUCGGUGGGACAAAGAUAUUAGGAGAUAUUCAGGAUUCCCAAUCGAAAUGUGAAUAUGAGCUCUUGUGCGGUGGUGGUAGUACCUCCUGAUACUUUGUUGGAACAAGAGAAAAAAACUGCAUCACCGUUAGAACUUUGAAAAUUUACUGUUGUGUUGUGUUCUACCUCUUCAUGUACGGUUAGUGCUGUAUCAACUUCUCAUGCAACGAAGGAAAAGAAGCUAACAAAUGAAUAAGAAUUGUAUUUGUACUUGUGCACUAUUUUCUGAUCAUUUGCUGGAGUGGAAGUAAUUGCCAAUAAGCCAUGGAUAUAAACUGUUGUGGAGAGAACUGGAUUAUUUUGUAGUAUUUAUUAAAUUGAUCUUCACUAUUCUACAUCAAAGUAAUAAUAUCAAGAAUAGCAUCUUAGAAAGAGCCUUACAUGAAAUCAAUAGAAGUGAUAAACUUACAGACUACCGGUACUAGAAAUAUUAAAAAGCCAUGGAAACUAUGUCAAUAACUUGAACAAUAAAAUAACGAAGAAUAAUCCAAAUUAUAGUUUUGGAGAGGAACAGCAAAUCAGAAUUUGUCAUGUGAGUCAAAAGCACUAAAAGUGAACAAGAAAACUGCUGUCCACCAGUAUAAUAAUGUAUCUAUGAUGAAAUUAAUGUCAGGAUCGAGGCCAGAAUGAAUGAAGCUGACGUUUUCUUGUUCAUGCUGUUUAUUUCAUUCUUUGUCAUGCUUCUGAAUGGGAAAAUCAACAUGACACCAAUUCUUAUAUUGCUUGUGAUUACCAUGGUAUACAUCCUGAUUGCCAAACUUUAGUGAGAGAUGACAAAUUUUACUAGCGAUUCGAAAGCUAUACACAACAUGUGAAUAAAAUCUUAUUUUUACAGUA
Molecule: long non-coding RNA, 1005 nt
Organism: Macrosteles quadrilineatus (aster leafhopper)
Lineage: Eukaryota; Metazoa; Arthropoda; Insecta; Hemiptera; Cicadellidae
Exons: 4
Source: RefSeq, a predicted model, not a curated record